AGACAUUAAUCCAACAGUCUCCCACUUGGAUAAGUCUAAAACUAUUAUUGCGUAUGACUUCAGGAACCAACUGGCAAUCGUAGCUCUCAAAAGCUUCUGUCGAACUCUGACCUUGUAGAUGAACUCUGACCUUUGUCAAUGACUUGUCCAUUAGAUAAGGGAUCAUAUAUUCCUCCAUUCUAGAUAUCAUAUGGACUGAGACAUGGAUUAUAAUCAUUCUCUCUGUCCAUUUGUUGUUUCCCGAUUUCCGAUUUAUGACGACUGACUAAUUGAACAAAUCAAAUCAGUCCUGGCCCGGCCGAGCACUUCCAUUUGUCAUCAUCAAAUCAUCGAGGGGCCCACAGAUAUCGCUUUUAUCCCGAAGGUAAAAGGAACGGAUAAACUUCGACUCAUAUGGCUUGUUCUACUACUUGUUGAAUCAUACACAAAGGCACGUUUUAUAGCACCGAGUUACCAAAUGCGUUUUCGUGCAAUCAAUGUACUAUCAACUCAUAGUAACAACUCAUAUCUCUAGGUUUGAAGAAUAUAAGAUAUUAUCGUCUCAUGAUCACUCGUGAUAAAAUCCAUGAAGUGAUUCCAAUGAGCGCGGGUUGAAUCCAAUACUCAGAACUUAUGAGCACUCAUGAGUGUUGUAGCCCUUUGUCCAACACCUUAGACCUCUACAAGCCAACCCAUGACAGUCUUAAUUCAUAUCUACUUCCAACAUAUGACCGACUGUGGAUGGUUUGAAUAACUUAGUCAUUCCGGAAGAAUAACCUAGUUUAUUCGGGAAGUCAAAACAUGCAAAGUGAAACACAAUAAUAAUUGAAUCCAAUAUGGUAUCAACCCUUUGAACAUAAAUAAAACACCUUUUAUUUAUCACCAUAUGAUUACACAUUAUUCAUUGUAUACUGUUUCAGCUAUCAACUUUAUUCUUGAAUUUAAAACAAUAGUUGUCCCAUGCUCCAAGCAUGUACACUAUGUUUUCUUAAACACUAGUCAUGCCACACACCAAGUAUGCAUACUAUGUUUGUCUAUGAUCUUUACUUUGUGAACUAGAUCAAUUGAACAUAACUUCAAUGAUUCUCUUUUCACACUCCCAAAUCCUUACUGCAAAUGCAAGAAUUCCAAAUUCAUGCCAUUUACUGAAAUCUGUUAGAUUCUAAACUUAUAUGCAUUGAUCCUCUUGUAAUGAUUAUGCACAAAGUCAGAAAGACUUGACAACAAUCAUUACAGAGUAUUCCAAAGGAGAUCAGCUCCUUGGAAACAUCCUUCUUGCAUUAAGUUUCCUAAUCUUAAACAGAUUGAAAAUUCUAACUUUGAAACAUUUCCAGAUUCCAUUUUGACUAUCACUUCUGAACAAGAGUUGCCUCCUUACAGAUUAUGUCAAUAUGGUCCUUCCAGAAUUAUCACUAUACUUCCAACUGUCCUUGAGCAACCAAUCUUUGGUAAACCUUAGAUUGUCCUCGACAAUUGUUUAAUCCUUUUAGUCAUAUCCAGUUCUAAACCUUUUCCCUUCUUAAUGCCCCAGGCAUUUGGAAAAUUUUAGAACGGAUGAAUAUAGCACAUGUAAUCGAUCCUAUAUCCGAAGCAUAUGGGACACGAUUCAUGAUGUCUCACAUAAAGACUAAACCAGUCUUUUGCUAUAACAUUUCCAUUUCAAUUUGCCAAGUUCUCAUAAUUCAGAUUAUGAAAAGGGAUGCCGUAAUCAUAAUCGAAUUUUAGAACGCAAAUAAUGGACCCAUAUACAGAAUUUCCUUAUGUUGAGCCAUUCCAACAUGAAAUUCAUAUAUAUCCUUGACUAAAUGAUUAAAACCUCACGAUCUAAGCUUAUAGAUUUGAGAUGAAGUAUAAUUUCCUCUCCCUUAAUUAUAGCAAAACAACUUUUUCCCAAUUGAAACUUUUGUUUUCUAUAAUUAACAUUGCUAACUUGCAAUACUUAUCAUAAUUAUCAUGCUCCCACUAACAUGAUGAUUAUUAGCAUAACACUUAUGCUCCCACUAGCUUUGACAUGUACUCAGAAAUCAGCUGGACUUCUAGAAAUCAAUACUUCAUUGACUUUCUUACCAAAGUUCAGAUUUCUGAUGCUAGAUUGUUUUGAUAAAACUUUAUCAAAAUCAUACACCUUCCCUUAGAUAGCACACUUGUGUGUCUAAACAAUUAUGAAGAGGUAUGCCGUAAUCAUAAUGGUUAGACCUUUUUGCCACUUCUCACAAGUCCAGGUUAGUGUGCCGGUAAACCACACACGCUCCACUAACGACUUUGAGAAUGCAAAUAUCACAAUUGCUAUCUAGCUAAAAUCUACUUAGUGAAAGUGUUUCCUCACCAUCAUUUUCAUGAAUCGGAGAGAAACCUUAUGACACUUAGAUUUAAUGGUGUAUGUGUUCUUAUCCAUGUGAAUUGUCAAAACCAUAGUCACAAGACAAGGAUAAUGACAAAUCCAAACUCAUAUGGACUGAACUCAAUCUUAAUUUCUUGCCACCUGGCAGCUCAAGGGCCUGCCAUUGCUUCCAAGUUGUUGUGCAACAAAUUGAGAACUCUAAGAACUCAUAUGCAAAGCCAACUUUAACUGGAAUGGGCACAGAAUAUGUCAACACGAUAGGUUAUAAACCUCAAGUCGUGUGCUAGUGAAGAACUUCAGGUUUUAUUCUUGAUUAGUUCUUGAGACUUUCAAGACCUUUAAGACUCCCACUGUCCUCUUGACAUAUAAGACUCCCUUGUCAAACAUCCAAGAGAUAGUGCGGAUUCUAAUCAAGAAAAACACUUUACCCAAUUGGCCUAAGUUGGUCUUUGUUUUAUCCAAAACAUCACAACUUACCAAUUUCAAAUGUACAAGAGUAGAAAACUUUUACUCUUACAUUUGACAAGUGUUUUAAACCUUCUUUAAGACAUGUCACUCAAAUUACAAUCUUGGAGUAUGACUCUAAGACUUGUAUUGGAACGAAGUAUGACUCAUCUUCUUGAUUUAACCAUUUCAACAAUUCAAGUUCCUCUUCUUAGUCAUAAGAAUGCACUAAGAUUUCCUUAGAGAACUAAUUUUGAUAUGGUUUCUUAAUCAUUAAGAUGAUCACAAAACUGAUACUAAAGUACUCUCCCAUCUUUUCAGAUUUGAGAAACUUUUAUCCUUCUGCCUAAUUUGAUUCUUCUUAUUCGCCCUGCCAUACAUUGGAACCUUUUCCAAUGUCUCAGAGUUACACUUAAGCUUGUAAGUAUAAUCAUAUUUACUGAGCUUUAGUAAACUAUGACGAAUAGUCUUAUCAAUCUUUUGUGGUGGACUUAAUCAGUGCACAAGAAUGUGUACUCGAUCCCUUAGUCCUUUACUUGACUCACACAUCCAUGUGGCCGAGUAAUUAGUCUUAAUUUUCCAAAACUUGAAAGUUCUCAUUCAUCAUGCUAUACAACUUGCAUGAUUCCAAGUUCCGGUCCAAUUGAAACUUGGGUGAUGAGAAUCUUUCCUUAUUUGGUAAAUCUAGACAUUACCACAAAUGAAAGAAUCAAUUUCAUAUUUCCACUCUUGCUCUUAAUGGAAUCAUAUAAGCAACAAUUUUUCCUCAAAAGCCAUUGUAAGGAUAUUUUAAAAUAAAUAAAAUCAAAAAAAUUUUCUUUUAUUUUAAAACUUUGCGGAAAAACUUAUCCUUACAAUCCAUAUGAAAACUUGUUGUUAUCUAUUCCUAAGCAAUAUCUCAUAACUCCUAAGAAGUUGCUCAAGAAUCCGAUCUUCAAACUAUGCGAUAGAAAUCCAUCUACGCCAUCAGAUUCAGCAUAUUCUUUCUUUAAGUUUCUUCACUUUUCUUUGAUUCUUAAAACAUCACCAUGUGACCCAGUCACAUCAUGUAUCAGGAAUCUCAGAAUAGAAACUUAACAGAGUUAGAUAGUGGACUUUACCUGAAGUAGAGUCAAACUUAUUGACUUUAACAUCCUUAGGUAAAUUUGGCAGCUUCGCAACCAAUGCCCCUUCCUUUGGCAAUAUAAACAUAUGGACCCUUUGAUAAUGGUACACGAGACUAUCACAGACUUAGCUUUUCUCUUUACCAUUUGGUCAACCGAGUUGACUAUGGCCGAUCCCUUUCCAUUGGGAAGAGAAUGCUUUACUGGAUAUCCAAUGUCAUCAUUGUCAAUGUCCAUAAAGUUUUAGGAAGUUGAUCUUAGCAAAUAGAUAAGAUCAUUAAGGGUCUUGUCAUAGUCUGUUUCAUAGGUGUCCCAAAGGAACUCACUAUGUGACUUAGAAAGUGAUUGAACCACCAACUUUCUCAAGACUUUGACACCCAACUCUCCCGGCUUGUCAAUAUGUGACUACAUCUCCAAGAUGUGAUCACACCUAGACCUUGCCUUGCCAAUAGGGCUUGAGUGACCUUAAACUUUUCAAGAACUUGUGGGUUAGGGAGAAUAAUUGGAGGAGGAGAAAGAAGUAUGAUAUCCAUGGGACAUCAUCUUCAUUAGGAAACCUUGUUUCAAGAGAUUUGGGAAGAUCAUAGGUGUCUAAACCAGACAUCUUUUGGGAGAUAUUCAAGAUAGUUGAUUUAAAGUCCUUAAUAUGACACCCAAUAUGAAAUAUUAAGGCUAGGACCCAACAAACUAUUUUAUAACUUAGAAGAGGUAUGCCGUAAUCCAAGCUAUAAAAUAUUUGAAGGUAGGUGAAUGACGAUUCACCAAUUUCCACCAAGAUAAACGAAAUGUAUUAUUAGGUUUUAAUUGGUUUUGAAACUCCUAGAUCUUUGAGAUUCAUUGAACUGUUCAAAGGCAUGUUUCAAUCUCGAGUGUGCCCUUCAGGUUUUGUGACUGGGAUGCCGAGGAUCACAAAACAAGGUGUGAAGUAACCAUGCAAAUCACUUGGUACCCUUAAUAAAUUACCCCUCAAUCGAUGUGCCGGUUAACCACACACGCUCCAUCGAUACUAUGAUAAAUAUUAAGUCACCCUUUACCUACCUUGUUAAGUCCAAGUUAGUGUGCCGGUUAACCACACACGCUCCACUAACGACUUAGACAAAGUGUAAAGUGUAAUUUCAUGGAUUAGCACCUUAUUCACAUUUUUCCUAAGUAACUAAGAUUGGGUAUUAUUAAGAGUUUAGUUACUUAGUAUUAUCAUUAAUACUUUUAAUGAAGGGAGAAUUCUAGUCCUGUCAAACCCGUUCGGCUAACGACCCUCCACCAGUCAAGCAAGCGGUGGGUGAGAGUGGACACCCAUUAAGUUGCCAUUUUAUAGGCAACAACCUUAUACCCACCUUAUAGACCGGCUUCGUGAAUGAGGCGUACUAGCGGUAAGACUGACUUUACUCUUAUACAUAUAUAUAUUAUUAACUUAUAAUAUUAUAAAGUAUAAGGGUUGAAUUUUAACUUUUAAAAUUCUAAGGGCUAACUUGGAAUUAAAGUAUUCAUAAGUGAAAACUUUACAAAUUCCAAAACUUGAGGGCAAGUUUUGAAACUAUUCAAAACUAAUUAAUUCCAUAACUUAUGUGUUUAAAGUAGUUUUAAUCCAAAAACUCUUCAAGUUCCAUAACUUGAGGACAAGUUAUGGAAGACUUUAAACUAAUAAAAGAAUUAACUUUUCUUUAUUUUAUAACUUAUGGAAUUAAUUAAGGUUACACUUUUUUUUUUUUUAUUUUAUUUUAUUAAAUGAAGAGACUCUUGGUCCUCCAUAACUUGAGGACAAGUUAUGGAGUCAUAAAACCAUUUAAUUAGAACUAGACUCUUCAUUUUUGUAACCUUUGCCAAUUUUUAUGAGUUUUAUGAUUCUUAAAUGUGACUUUUCAUAUAACUUGAGGACAAGUUACAAAAACACAUUUUAGAAUCAAUUCUUAGAUUAAUUUGGAUUAAAACCAACUAUCACAUAAUUUUAUUCAUUAAUCUAAAUUCACUCAUAAAACAAGGUAACACAAAAAACUUUUGGUGAUCCAUAACUUAUUCUUAAGUUAUGGAAUCCUUUAAAACAUUAACACCAAAUUUUGUAACUCCAAAAAAACUUUGAAUCAAUUUUUUUUUUAAAACCUUUUCAUAUCCAUAACUUAUGGAGGUUUCAAAAAAUAAAACUCUUUAGAUCAAACUUUUAAAACUAAUAAAAUAAUCAUAUUAUUUUAUCUUUUAUUAAAUUUGACCUAAUUCAACUCAUAAAGCAAAUUAUUCAAAUUUUACAAAUAAUUAGUUUUUCACAAGAACAAGUAAUUAUCUUAAAAUUUGACAAACUUCAUGUUUUUUUUUUUUUUUUUUUUCAACUUUGAAAAUAAAAUAUUUGCAUCAAUAUAACAGAAAACAACCCGUGGCUCUGAUACCACUGUUGGGUUUUGAGCAUUCUAACACUUCCUAAGUGUACAUGCAACCCUAAAUACCUUGGAUCUAUGUUUUCUCUAUUAUACAUGCAAAUAAGAACUUCCAAGGUAUUAUCCUAAUCUAGCAUACAAAACAAUAACUAUAGCAAGAUAGAAUACAUACCUCUUUGGUGUAGAAAGUCUUCAUGAAGCUUGAGUGCCUAGUGCCCCAAGUGUGACACCUCAAAUGGAAUCACAAUCAUCAAAACACUUAGAAUGACUUGAGAGAAUUCUACACUCAUCAAAAUCGGCUAGCCCUUUCUUCACUAUCUCUAGUGGCCGAUUUUUCCUCAAUAAUAAGAUGCUUAUAUAGUUACACAAUUAGGGUAAACUCUUAAUUGUCAUGGCUUUCCAUUUCCUUGGAUCCAUGGGUACAAAUACACCAUGGAGCAUCCAUGGACCAUCCUAUGGGUUUUAGCCCAACUUGAUUAUCCAUGGAGCAUUAGCCCACUAUACAAGUAUGGAUGAUUUACACAAUCAACCCAUAUAUUUAAUUAGUCUUCUUUUGAUCACUUAAUUAAUCCUAGAUUAAUUCUUGAUCAAUACUAAUUAAAUAAUCUUAUUAUUCUUAUUAUUAAUAUACUAGAACUUAUAAUAUAUUAAUAACCAUAAGUGUCUUAUUUCUCUCAUUAUAGUCUAUCCAAGUGCAUGAUGGUAUGCAACCCAAAUGGACCAUGCCGGGUCGGGUCAAGUCUUACCAAUUAUAGUUAUGGACUUAGACAUUAAUCCAACAGUCUCCCACUUGGAUAAGUCUAAAACUAUUAUUGCGUAUGACUUCAGGAACCAACUGGCAAUCGUAGCUCUCAAAAGCUUCUGUCGAACUCUGACCUUGUAGAUGAACUCUGACCUUUGUCAAUGACUUGUCCAUUAGAUAAGGGAUCAUAUAUUCCUCCAUUCUAGAUAUCAUAUGGACUGAGACAUGGAUUAUAAUCAUUCUCUCUGUCCAUUUGUUGUUUCCCGAUUUCCGAUUUAUGACGACUGACUAAUUGAACAAAUCAAAUCAGUCCUGGCCCGGCCGAGCACUUCCAUUUGUCAUCAUCAAAUCAUCGAGGGGCCCACAGAUAUCGCUUUUAUCCCGAAGGUAAAAGGAACGGAUAAACUUCGACUCAUAUGGCUUGUUCUACUACUUGUUGAAUCAUACACAAAGGCACGUUUUAUAGCACCGAGUUACCAAAUGCAUUUUCGUGCAAUCAAUGUACUAUCAACUCAUAGUAACAACUCAUAUCUCUAGGUUUGAAGAAUAUAAGAUAUUAUCGUCUCAUGAUCACUCGUGAUAAAAUCCAUGAAGUGAUUCCAAUGAGCGCGGGUUGAAUCCAAUACUCAGAACUUAUGAGCACUCAUGAGUGUUGUAGCCCUUUGUCCAACACCUUAGACCUCUACAAGCCAACUCAUGACAGUCUUAAUUCAUAUCUACUUCCAACAUAUGACCGACUGUGGAUGGUUUGAAUAACUUAGUCAUUCCGGAAGAAUAACCUAGUUUAUUCGGGAAGUCAAAACAUGCAAAGUGAAACACAAUAAUAAUUGAAUCCAAUAUGGUAUCAACUCUUUGAAC
This 7833-nucleotide long non-coding RNA is filed under the name Lactuca sativa (garden lettuce). RNAcentral describes it as "long non-coding RNA (LSAT_LNC001666)". Lineage: Eukaryota; Viridiplantae; Streptophyta; Magnoliopsida; Asterales; Asteraceae. The record is from RNAcentral.